RNAcentral lists this ribosomal RNA (557 nucleotides) under Bathytoma agnata. RNAcentral describes it as "partial small subunit ribosomal RNA". Lineage: Eukaryota; Metazoa; Mollusca; Gastropoda; Neogastropoda; Conidae. The record is from RNAcentral.
GUUACACCAAAAAAUUAAGUCAUAUUGAUGCGGUAAAAAGACAGUUAAGCAGUAAAUUUUAAGUUUCUUGAUUAUUUAUAAAAAAGUAAAAUUUGAAUAUAGUAUAAUAAUUUAAUAGAGGCUUUAUGGCUGAAUCUGUGACGGCUUUGAGGGAAACUGGGAUUGGAUACCCCAUUAUUCUUAGUUGUAAAUCUAAUUAAAUAGUUUACCGGAGUACUAUGAAUAAAAAAAUUUAAAACUCAAAGAGCUUGGCGGUGUUUUAGACCAUUCAGGGGAACCUGUCUCAUAAUCGACAAUCCGCGUUAAACCUAACCUUUUUUUGCAAUCAGUUUGUAUACCGUCGUCGUCAGGUAACUUCUAAAAGAUUAAAAGUUAGCUAGAGAAUUAGUAUAAAUUAAAACGUCAGAUCAGGGUGCAACCCAUAAAAAGGUGAGGAUGGGUUACAAUUAUUAAAUUAUAAUUACAGAGAGCCAUAAAAAUAAAUGACUUGAAGGAGGACUUGAAAGUAAUUUCGAUUAUAUAAAAACUUUGAAUAGGGCUCUGAAACGUGCACACAU